GGCCGGGAGAAAAGGCCUCGGCCACCGAGCGGCGGGAUCACAAAGGACCACCGUGUCCGCCUUUGUCCUGCAUCUGCCAGUGGAGCGCCCUCGCCGCCAUUGGCUUCACCUUCCACCGGCUCUACCUGUCUCAUCCUGGGGAUCUGCGUCAGCAGUCACUAGCCGCCCCGCCAGCCCAGGAAGUGAAGCAGGCUCCCAGCAAGGCAGCAACCUCACAGACAGAACUGGGGAGGAAAAUGAAGCUUCCGAUUUUCAUAGCAGACGCGUUCACAGCAACAGCUUUCCGUGGUAAUCCUGCUGCCGUCUGCCUCCUGGAAAAUACAUUGGAUGAUGAUUCUCAUCAACUCAUUGCACGAGAAAUGAACCUCUCUGAAACCGCAUUUAUUCGAAAACUGCAACCGACUGACAACUUCACACAAAGUUCCCACUUUGGACUGAGGUGGUUUACUCCAGAGAGUGAGUUCCCGCUGUGUGGUCACGCCACCCUGGCCUCUGCAGCUGUGCUGUUCCACAAGAUAAAGAACACAAACAACACUCUCACCUUUGCCACUAUGAGCGGGGAGCUGAAGGCCAGAAGAGCAGAGGAUGGGAUUGUCUUGGACUUUCCUCUCUACCCAGCCUUCCCCCAGGACUUCCAUGAGGUGGAAGACUUGAUAAAGGCAGCCAUAGGAGACACCCUAGUCCAGGAUAUCCGGUACUCUCCAGACACCAAAAACCUUAUGGUCCGGCUCAGCGAUUCUUACGACAGGUCCUUUCUGGAGACCCUGAGGGUGAACACAGAGCCUCUGCCUCGAAUGGAAAAGACAGGGAAGGUGAAAGGGCUCAUUCUCACUCUCAGAGGAGAGCCUGGGGGGCAGACACCCCACUAUGACUUCUACUCCCGGUACUUUGCACCAUGGGUUGGUGUGGCUGAAGACCCGGUAACAGGGUCUGCCCACACUAUUCUUGGCCCCUACUGGUCUGAGGAGCUGGGGAAGAAAGACAUGCGAGCCUUUCAGUGUUCCCGCCGAGGAGGAGAACUGGACAUUUCCCUGCGACCUGAUGGACGAGUUGACCUGAAGGGUGGCGCUGCUAUUGUCCUAGAGGGCACGCUGACGGUCUAGAGACACUUACGCUGCGCUGUGGCCCCGGAUAAACAUGGUGUUUCCUCUACACUACAAAACAAACCAACAACAAAUGCCCAGAGCUUGCUUCAGCAAACCCACUGACCAGUGCCCUCGACCGUAGAGAACAGACAAGGAAGCCAUUUGAUGAGGGCAGGAUAGCAUCUCCAGGCUCCUUAGCUGAUGAAGGGCUCUGGCCUCUGCCUGUGUGCAUCUUCAGGAACCCACAGCAGGCAGCGAUGCUGCCACUUCUUUUGAUCAUAACUGCCAAUCAAAGAGAGAUCCAGUCAGGUGGUGGCGCCAUGCGCCUUUAAUCCCAGCAUUUGGGAGGCAGAAGCAGGACAGCCAGAGCCACACACAGAGAAACCCUGUCUCAAAAAAGAAAAAAGAAAAAAGAAAAAAGAGCUAUCCAUUGAUAAGGAGCUAGGUUCGGCCAUUUAAAUUUAGGCACAGGUACCUAAUAGAGUAUCUCAAAGACAUUCAGAAGAGUUAAUAGCUCUGUGGAAAAGCAGUGUUGCUAAAAUCCUUUCCCUGUGGACCACAUAAACAUUUCCUCCCCAUUCCCUAAGUUUCCAAAGAUAAACUGAGGUACAACGCCAUCAUUCUCCCAGGGCACCAGUGGCCUUACUUCCAGAGCAUAAGCGAGGGGUUACUUACAGAGUGUGGGUGUGGCAUCCUGGAAUGUGACCCCGGAAAAGGCUUUGUCAGGCGCUGAUGAUAACUGUCCUGUGGCGGGGAUGGGAACCCCCGGCCUCAGUCUUUGCUGGCCUGUAUCUCCUAGCCCCUUGCUGGGGCCGUGUGCUAGUGCAUUUAUCACAGGUGGGAGGGAGAGGCUAGAUCCUCAGGUGAGGGUCCUGUGACCUCCCCAGUACUGCUGGGAGGAGAGGGAGCCGUUCAUUAGCCCAGCUGGGAUGAGCCUUUGCAAGUGGGCACAGCUGAACUCCUGAAGAUUGCAGUUGCUUGGCUCAGAGUAUCUUCCUGAGCAACGUGCAGGAAAACAUCUCACGAGGUGAUCACGCUAGGAAUGGAAACGCGGGGAGACCGAGAACUGUUAGGGAGGCUGGCCUAUGAUUGGUAGGGUGUUUGGAUUUGUGUGGGCUGUAAGGAUAGCAAAAUGGAACAGUUCAUUUUGGGGGACGAUGUAAAGGAAUUUCAGUGUAGCUAAAAAAACCACUGAUUUGGGGGCUAGCAAGACGGCUGAGUGAAUGAAGCACUUGUCAUCAAGGUUGACAACCUGAAUUUGACUUCUGGGACCCAGAAAUAGAAAGAGAACACACUCUGCACGUUUUCCUCUGACUCACAUACACAUAGGUGCUGUAGCGUGCACACACCCACACAUAUACGUGCAUAUACGAAACAAAGAAAUAAAUGCAAUAAAAAU
Molecule: RNA transcript, 2484 nt
Organism: Arvicola amphibius (Eurasian water vole)
Lineage: Eukaryota; Metazoa; Chordata; Mammalia; Rodentia; Cricetidae
Gene name: phenazine biosynthesis-like domain-containing protein 2
Exons: 11
Source: RefSeq, a predicted model, not a curated record